This 253-nucleotide ribosomal RNA is filed under the name uncultured bacterium. RNAcentral's name for it is "partial 16S ribosomal RNA". It matches the Rfam family "Bacterial small subunit ribosomal RNA", at positions 524 to 776 of the family's 1533-position model. The record is from RNAcentral.
UACGAAGGGGGCUAGCGUUGCUCGGAAUCACUGGGCGUAAAGGGUGCGUAGGCGGGUCUUUAAGUCAGGGGUGAAAUCCUGGAGCUCAACUCCAGAACUGCCUUUGAUAUUGAGGAUCUUGAGUACGGGAGAGGUGAGUGGAACUGCGAGUGUAGAGGUGAAAUUCGUAGAUAUUCGCAAGAACACCAGUGGCGAAGGCGGCUCACUGGCCCGUAACUGACGCUGAGGCACGAAAGCGUGGGGAGCAAACAGG